CAACGGCCUGUUGGCAACUUACUACAAGGUUGUUGAGCUCAACAGACUUGUUACAAGUUGUUCCAACAACUUGUUAUCGUUCUGCAAUUCAACAAUUUGUCAACAAGUUGUAAGUGACAACCUUGUAGCAACUUGAUGAAAUAACAGCAUUGUUACAACCUGUUGACAAGCUUGCUACAAACCUGUUGCGAACACAUCUUGUUG
This 204-nucleotide long non-coding RNA is filed under the name Paramuricea clavata. Lineage: Eukaryota; Metazoa; Cnidaria; Anthozoa; Malacalcyonacea; Plexauridae. The record is from RNAcentral.